GACGAACGCUGGCGGCGUGCUUAACACAUGCAAGUCGAACGGAAAGGCCCUGGUGUUGUGGGGUGCUCGAGUGGCGAACGGGGGAGGAACAAGUGAUUAACCUGCCCUUGACUUUGGGAUAACUUCAGGAAACUGGGGCUAAUAACGGAUAGGAGCUCCUGCUGCAUGGUGGGGGUUGGAAAGUUGCGGCUGUGGGGGAUGGACGCGCGGCUUAUCAGCUUGUUGGUGGGGUAGUUGUUUACCAAGUCUUUGACGGGUAGCCGGCCUGAGAGGGUGACCGGCCACAUUGGGACUGAGAUACGGCACAGAAUCCUACGGGAGGCAGCAGUGGGGAAUAUUGCACAAUGGGCGGAAGUCUGAUGCAGAAACGCCGCGUGCGGGAUGAAGGCCUUCGGGUUGUAAACAGCUUUAGCAUGUGACGAAGCGUGAGUGACGGUAAUGGGUAAAGAAGCAACGGCUAACUACGUG
This 468-nucleotide ribosomal RNA is filed under the name uncultured bacterium. RNAcentral's name for it is "partial 16S ribosomal RNA". It matches the Rfam family "Bacterial small subunit ribosomal RNA", at positions 28 to 507 of the family's 1533-position model. The record is from RNAcentral.